Molecule: non-coding RNA, 27 nt
Filed under: Rattus norvegicus (Norway rat)
Lineage: Eukaryota; Metazoa; Chordata; Mammalia; Rodentia; Muridae
Source: RNAcentral
UAGCAAACUAGAAAGAGCCGCCCUUCC